UAGUAACGAUAACAAUAAUGAUAAUGAUAAUUGAAAAAUUUACAUCUUGUCUUUUUUUUGACAACACUUGUGGAAUGAAACGCCGAACGCGGAAAUCAAAGCAGAACACGUGAGUUUAACGUACUUCCUCCCGGAAAUUAAGUCCAGACACUACUACACAAUCACAGAGCAAUUAAAAGUAACCUUUCCAAUUUUGACACUUUGUUACGUUUAAUAUUUUAGUUUCGUUCUAAGUAUCUUCUGCGACUGUGUGGGUAAAAAAGCUCUUAUUUUUGGUCGACGUACGUGUAUCAUUAUGUAUUCUUAAAGCAACUGUAGUUAUUAAUUAUGUCUCUUAGAUAUAUUUUAUUUUAUUAUAAACCUCCCCGAUUUUUGAAAGGGUGUGUUGGCAAAAUAGUCACUUUUUCAAACUUAAUUAGGAAAGUAGUCACUUUACUAUUCAUAAUUUGCAAAACAAUCACUUUUCACUGUUUGAUUCGUACACUUGGAUUGUACAUCACUUUUAGUGUACAAAUGUAAAGUGUACACUGUGUAUUUUUAUAUAUAUUUGUACACUAAAAGUGAUGUACAAUCUAAAUUUACAAAUCAAACAGUGAAAAAUGACUAUUUUGCAAAUUAUGAAUAGUAAAGUGACUACUUUUCUAAUUAAGUUUGAAAAAGUGACUAAUUUACAAUUUAACCCUUCUUUAAAUCUCAACAAGAAUCUAUCACAAUACUACUUUUAAAUUAAAUCUCUUACGAGUUUCAUUUGAAGAUAAACGGAUGGGAAACCAACCAAAAAAAU
This 784-nucleotide small RNA is filed under the name Arabidopsis thaliana (thale cress). RNAcentral's name for it is "ATSL007480". Lineage: Eukaryota; Viridiplantae; Streptophyta; Magnoliopsida; Brassicales; Brassicaceae. The record is from RNAcentral.